GGCUGCUGUCGCGACCCAGGGCGCACCCAGAAACCCUUUGUGAACUUAUACCUUACUGUUGCCUCGGCGCUAGCUGGUCCUCCGGGGCCCCUCUCCGGAGGAGCAGGCACGCCGGCGGCCAAGUUAACUCUUGUUUUUACACUGAAACUCUGAGAAAAAAAACAUAAAUGAAUCAAAACUUUCAACAACGGAUCUCUUGGUUCUGGCAUCGAUGAAGAACGCAGCGAAAUGCGAUAAGUAAUGUGAAUUGCAGAAUUCAGUGAAUCAUCGAAUCUUUGAACGCACAUUGCGCCCUCUGGUAUUCCGGAGGGCAUGCCUGUUCGAGCGUCAUUUCAACCCUCAAGCCUGGCUUGGUGUUGGGGCACUGCUUCUCCCCCGAGAAGCAGGCCCUGAAAUUCAGUGGCGAGCUCGCCAGGACCCCGAGCGCAGUAGUUAAACCCUCGCUCUGGAAGGCCCUGGCGGUGCCCUGCCGUUAAACCCCCAACUUCUGAAAAUUUGACCUCGGAUCAGGUAGGAAUACCCGCUGAACUUAAGCAUAUCAAUAAGCGGAGGGAGAUC
This 558-nucleotide ribosomal RNA is filed under the name Diaporthe sp. RNAcentral's name for it is "eukaryotic LSU rRNA". The stretch from base 177 to 330 matches the Rfam family "5.8S ribosomal RNA". Lineage: Eukaryota; Fungi; Ascomycota; Sordariomycetes; Diaporthales; Diaporthaceae. The record is from RNAcentral.